UUAAGGAAGGACACACCCGCCUAUGGUUAGAAGGAGCAAACGAGCCCACCAUUCUGCCCCUGUGAUAGCUACCCUUUUGAGGAAGAACAUUCCAGAACAGAAGACUAGAGACAGAAACUGGUUGCCUUUGUUACCAAGAAGCUCUUGAAAAAUGCAGCAUCAGCCAGAAUCUAAAUUUGUGCAAAUGGGUCAACAGGAAAUUUCACCCAGUCAGACCAACUUCACAAAGGCCCCAUGGGGGCUCUACCACUCAGAGAGCCCUGUUAAGAAAAUUGCCACUUUCAGCCAGACCCUGAGGGCGACGCGGAAGUCUCACCAAGUUCUUCACACCCCUUGUGGCUUCUCCUCCUGGGCUGCAGCUUCUGAGGCACGGGAGCCCCAUCUUCUGGAAUUUUCCCCACACUCUUUCUCUACUGGAGUGAUGGGUUCCUUCCCCGGACAGUAUUCGUUCUGUCCCCUUGUCACCCGUCAUGUCAUCUUUGGCUGGAACGGGCUCAGACAAAGAAUGCUGAAGGAAUGGAUGAAUGAUGAAGCAAUGAGCCAGGUAGCAGUGGUUGGAGAAUUCUGUUUCGCUCCAUUUGACUUACCUCCAUGGAGGCAGCGCUUUGGGGAAUGGGGAAUUACGGUCCCCUUUUAAAAAGAUCUGAAUAGUUCAAAAUCACAGGGAAACCAGUUCAUAGUCCUCUUUUCAUUCAAAGAUGCUGUAUUCCAGUCAUCUUACACCCAGGAUACAGGUCAGAGAAAGGUUAGCCGACUGAGGCAGAGAAGAGGCCAGGAGCCUCAGGAAGGGCCGAGCUGGCAUUCCAACCCUGGAAUGUCCGACUGAAAUCUGGGCUGUUUUCCUGUCCACACCACCUCAUGUCCCCCACCUGGCUGCCCUUAAGGUGAAUAUUCUGUUGGAAACAGAAGGCCUUAUCAAAAAUGGAAACUUGGGGCCCUUGUGUCCGAAGAAAC
This 954-nucleotide long non-coding RNA is filed under the name Equus caballus (horse). RNAcentral describes it as "lncRNA (ENSECAG00000043844.1)". The record is from RNAcentral. Lineage: Eukaryota; Metazoa; Chordata; Mammalia; Perissodactyla; Equidae.